GGAUGUAAGGGCCAUCUGGCUGUGACAUCUGUCACCCCAUUGAUCGCCAGGGUUGAUUCUGCUGAUCAGGCUGCCUAGGUGGAUGUCCCCUUCCUCCCUCACUGCUCCAUGUUGUGUCCCUCCCCAAGCUGCAUGCACAGUCAAAGAGGACAGCCUUACCUGAAUAGAGAAAGACCUGUCUUUGGUGGAGGGCAUAAGAGUAGUUGUGCUCCCCUGCUAGAACCUCCAAACAAGCUUUCAAGGUCCAUACAACCAAGGUUCCAGCGCAGUCCCCCAAUACAUUAGAGGAAAUUUGGUUGCUAUGGUAUCUUUUAUCUCUCC
Unclassified non-coding RNA from Erinaceus europaeus (western European hedgehog), 321 nucleotides. Its record names the gene 7SK. It matches the Rfam family "7SK RNA". Rfam says of the family: 7SK was discovered as an abundant small nuclear RNA in the mid-70s but a possible function has only recently been suggested. Two independent studies have found that 7SK RNA binds the CDK9/cyclin T complex (known as elongation factor P-TEFb). The record is from Ensembl. Lineage: Eukaryota; Metazoa; Chordata; Mammalia; Eulipotyphla; Erinaceidae.